Molecule: ribosomal RNA, 468 nt
Filed under: uncultured bacterium
Lineage: Bacteria
Description: partial 16S ribosomal RNA
Rfam family: Bacterial small subunit ribosomal RNA
Source: RNAcentral
GACGAACGCUGGCGGCGUGCUUAACACAUGCAAGUCGAACGGAAAGGCCCUGCUUUUGUGGGGUGCUCGAGUGGCGAACGGGUGAGUAACACGUGAGUAACCUGCCCUUGACUUUGGGAUAACUUCAGGAAACUGGGGCUAAUACCGGAUAGGAGCUCCUGCUGCAUGGUGGGGGUUGGAAAGUUUCGGCGGUUGGGGAUGGACUCGCGGCUUAUCAGCUUGUUGGUGGGGUAGUGGCUUACCAGGGCUUUGCCGGGUAGCCGGCCUGAGAGGGUGACCGGCCACAUUGGGACUGAGAUACGGCCCAGACUCCUACGGGAGGCAGCAGUGGGGAAUAGUGCACAAUGGGCGGAAGGCUGAUGCAGCAACGCCGCGUGCGGGAUGACGGCCAUCGGGUUGUAAACCGCUUUCGCCUGUGACGAAGCGUGAGUGACGGUAAUGGGUAAAGAAGCACCGGCUAACUACGUG